CAGCAAAAUCUCUGGGAAUACCAACAUCAGUGCAUAGAAAGGACGUGAGGGGCUUUUUCCCCUCUUGUGGCUGCAUUAGACAAUGCCUCCUUAUGCAAAACUAGCAGAGCACAGUACAGAACCACAGAAUCAUAGAAUCAUCAAGGUUGGGAAGCCCUCAGCUUUCUCUAACAGGUCAAUGUCAAAACUUGAAAAUUAUGUGUAUGCUCAAAGAGAAGAGACACAGGCAGUUUCUUUGCAGCUGACUGACUGAGGAUUUUAACUUUCUGGCCUACAGUCAACAGAGCAUCUACCCGUCCUUGUGAAGC
This is a long non-coding RNA of Catharus ustulatus (Swainson's thrush), 308 nucleotides long. RefSeq lists it as uncharacterized. The record is from RefSeq and is a predicted model, not a curated record. Lineage: Eukaryota; Metazoa; Chordata; Aves; Passeriformes; Turdidae. The transcript has 4 exons.